Molecule: ribosomal RNA, 367 nt
Filed under: uncultured rumen bacterium
Lineage: Bacteria
Description: bacterial SSU rRNA
Rfam family: Bacterial small subunit ribosomal RNA
Source: RNAcentral
GUAGGUGGCGAGCGUUAUCCGGAAUUACUGGGUGUAAAGGGUGUGUAGGCGGGCCUGCAAGUCAGAUGUGAAACCUAUGGGCUCAACCCAUAGCCUGCAUUUGAAACUGCGGGUCUUGAGAGUGGGAGAGGUAAACGGAAUUCCCGGUGUAGCAGUGAAAUGCGUAGAUAUCGGGAGGAACACCGGUGGCGAAGGCGGUUUACUGGACCACAACUGACGCUGAGACACGAAAGCGUGGGGAGCAAACAGGAUUAGAUACCCUGGUAGUCCACGCCCUAAACGAUGAAUGCUAGGUGUGGGGGAGUUAUCUUCCGUGCCGGAGUAAACACAAUAAGCAUUCCACCUGGGGAGUACGGCCGCAAGGUUG